Molecule: ribosomal RNA, 253 nt
Filed under: uncultured bacterium
Lineage: Bacteria
Description: partial 16S ribosomal RNA
Rfam family: Bacterial small subunit ribosomal RNA
Source: RNAcentral
UACGAAGGGGGCUAGCGUUGUUCGGAAUUACUGGGCGUAAAGCGCGUGUAGGCGGGGCUUUAAGUCAGGGGGGAAAUGCCAAGGCUCAACCUUGGAACUGCCCUUGAUACUGGAGAUCUUGAGUCCGGGAGAGGUGAGUGGAACUGCGAGUGUAGAGGUGAAAUUCGUAGAUAUUCGCAAGAACACCAGUGGCGAAGGCGGCUCACUGGCCCGGUACUGACGCUGAGGUGCGAAAGCGUGGGGAGCAAACAGG